UCCUGGUUAACCCAGGCAGUCUCGUUAGAGUUCCCGCCAUUACGCGCUGGCAACUAACGAUAAGGGUUGCGCUCGUUGCUGGACUUAACCAAACACCUCACGGCACGAGCUGACGACAGCCAUGCAGCACCUAUAUAGAGACCCUUACGGGAAAUAUCAUCUCUGAUAUCGUCCUCUACAUUUCGAGCCCAGGUAAGGUUCUUCGCGUUGCAUCGAAUUAAACCACAUGCUCCACUGCUUGUGCGGGCCCCCGUCAAUUCUUUUGAGUUUCACCCUUGCGAGCGUACUCCCCAGGCGGCAUACUUAAUGCGUUAGCUCCGGUACAGAGGGGGUUGAGCCCCCCUACACCUAGUAUGCAUCGUUUAAGGCUAGGACUAC
Molecule: unclassified non-coding RNA, 378 nt
Filed under: uncultured Chlamydiales bacterium
Lineage: Bacteria; Pseudomonadati; Chlamydiota; Chlamydiia; Chlamydiales
Description: contains 16S-23S intergenic spacer region
Source: RNAcentral